GGGGAUGUAGCUCAGUGGCAGAGCGUCUCGUUUGCAUUGAGCAAAUCGUACGAAUUUCGAGAAGGUCUGGGGUUCAAUCCCCCACAUCUCCA
Molecule: non-coding RNA, 92 nt
Organism: Melanopsichium pennsylvanicum
Lineage: Eukaryota; Fungi; Basidiomycota; Ustilaginomycetes; Ustilaginales
Source: the annotation of a GenBank genome assembly